Molecule: ribosomal RNA, 328 nt
Filed under: uncultured eukaryote
Lineage: Eukaryota
Description: partial 18S ribosomal RNA
Rfam family: Eukaryotic small subunit ribosomal RNA
Source: RNAcentral
CCCUUAGAUGUCCGGGGCUGCACGCGCGCUACGCUGAAGGAAUCAGCGUGCUAAAACCAUUGUCGAAAGGCAUUGGUAAACCCAUUAAAAUCCUACGUGAUUGGGAUCGGGAAUUGCAAUUAUUUCCCUUGAACGAGGAAUUCCCAGUAAGUGUGGGUCAUAAGCUCGCGUUGAUUACGUCCCUGCCCUUUGUACACACCGCCCGUCGCUGCCCGGGACUGAGCCGUUUCGAGAAAAGCGGGGACUGCUGCUGUCGGGGCUUUCGGGCCUUGGCUUCGGUGGAAACCGCUUUAAUCGCAGUGGCUUGAACCGGGCAAAAGUCGUAACA